Molecule: unclassified non-coding RNA, 345 nt
Filed under: soil metagenome
Description: partial contains 5.8S ribosomal RNA, internal transcribed spacer 2, and large subunit ribosomal RNA
Rfam family: 5.8S ribosomal RNA (bases 1-119)
Source: RNAcentral
GAUGAAGAACGUAGCGAAAUGCGAUACGUAAUGUGAAUUGCAAAUUCAGUGAAUCAUCGAGUCUUUGAACGCACAUUGCCCCCCCUGGUAUUCCGGGGGGCAUGCCUGUCCGAGCGUCAUUGCUGCCCUCAAGCACGGCUUGUGUGUUGGGCCCCGUCCUCCGAUCCCGGGGGACGGGCCCGAAAGGCAGCGGCGGCACCGCGUCCGGUCCUCGAGCGUAUGGGGCUUUGUCACCCGCUCUGUAGGCCCGGCCGGCGCUUGCCGAUCAACCCAAAUUUUUAUCCAGGUUGACCUCGGAUCAGGUAGGGAUACCCGCUGAACUUAAGCAUAUCAAUAAGCGGAGGA